UACGGAGGGGGCUAGCGUUGUUCGGAAUUACUGGGCGUAAAGCGUACGUAGGCGGUUUUGUAAGUUAGAGGUGAAAGCCCGGAGCUCAACUUCGGAAUUGCCUUUAAGACUGCAUCACUUGAACGUCGGAGAGGUGAGUGGAAUUCCGAGUGUAGAGGUGAAAUUCGUAGAUAUUCGGAGGAACACCAGUGGCGAAGGCGGCUCACUGGCUCGAUACUGACGCUGAGGUGCGAAAGUGUGGGGAGCAAACAGG
Molecule: ribosomal RNA, 253 nt
Filed under: uncultured bacterium
Lineage: Bacteria
Description: partial 16S ribosomal RNA
Rfam family: Bacterial small subunit ribosomal RNA
Source: RNAcentral